GAACGAACAAGGCCAUGUUUGAAUGUCAGGGAAACAGACGCAGAAGGUUUCAGAGGACCUUUGUCACUGAAAUUCCCUUUCCUUCUGGAAAAGCAAACUGCUAGUUUGUUGACCAUCAGGUAUUCUAUAGAUUACUUUGAAAUGAAAAUGUUACCUGGGUGUGUGAGCUGAGAGUUUGGACUUUUCAUCUGACAAUGAAUGAUACCGUAUUUGACCUUGAAGAGGGUACUGGACCUUACCAUUGUCUAUAUGUAGAAGCAGGAAUGAUUCAGAUACCUAAUGAUUAUUAAAAAUGCUUUGAUGCCUCAAAUGAAAUAAC
Molecule: long non-coding RNA, 319 nt
Filed under: Homo sapiens (human)
Lineage: Eukaryota; Metazoa; Chordata; Mammalia; Primates; Hominidae
Description: HSALNT0109910
Source: RNAcentral